GGGCCCGCAUGUUGGUGUCAUGGAUGUGUUUGAGAACCAUCCAGGCCUCGUCGUGUUUCCCCGUCUGGGAAACGGACACAUUUAGCAGAGAAUAUGGAUGAAGUUUGGAGAGAAGCAGCACACGUCACUUCUCUUGAUGCCCAAGCAGCAGAUGAACUCACCAAGGAAAUCAGUUCAACUCUCUGGUCAGCAACGUCUGUCCAGUUCAAUCUCGACAGAACUGAACCUGCGUUGGCAGCACUGACUCAACGGCUGCAGUAGUUGCUUCUGCUAUAUCCUCUACUGCUUUAUUUUUAACUCAGGUGUUCACUAAGGCCUGUGUUCAAAGCAGACCCACCACAUUGUCAUGUGGGACAAAAAAAAAAAAAAGUGGUUCAGUAUGUCAAGUACUCCUAGCAGGACUCGCAAAGAGAAAUAAAUGCAGAAAUGAAUCAUCUGCAGUCAAUUUCAUCGCAAUCACAAGUCUGUCCAAUUUAUUCUAACCUAGAGAUCCAUGGACAUAAACUUUAAAAUUGAUGUUUUAAAAAAAUCAGUUCGCUGUAAUAUUUAUCCUUAAAUGACGACGGGUAAUUCGAUGUGAACACGUAUAAAUGUUUAAACCACUCAUUGAGCAAGAAAAGACCACAAGGACCAAGUACACCGUUAAUCAAAACAUUGAAUUUAAUUGAAAAAGAUGAGUGAAUAUAACUUGACUUUUGUCAAAGUGCAGUGAAUUUUAAUGUUGUCUUUAAUCAAAUAAAUUCACUGGAUUCAA
Long non-coding RNA from Poecilia reticulata (guppy), 754 nucleotides. RefSeq lists it as uncharacterized. Lineage: Eukaryota; Metazoa; Chordata; Actinopteri; Cyprinodontiformes; Poeciliidae. The record is from RefSeq and is a predicted model, not a curated record.